UUAAGCGACUAAGCGUACACGGUGGAUGCCCUGGCAGUCAGAGGCGAUGAAGGACGUGCUAAUCUGCGAUAAGCGUCGGUAAGGUGAUAUGAACCGUUAUAACCGGCGAUUUCCGAAUGGGGAAACCCAGUGUGAUUCGUCACACUAUCAUUAACUGAAUCCAUAGGUUAAUGAGGCGAACCGGGGGAACUGAAACAUCUAAGUACCCCGAGGAAAAGAAAUCAACCGAGAUUCCCCCAGUAGCGGCGAGCGAACGGGGAGCAGCCCAGAGCCUGAAUCAGUGUGUGUGUUAGUGGAAGCGUCUGGAAAGGCGCGCGAUACAGGGUGACAGCCCCGUACACAAAAAUGCACAUACUGUGAGCUCGAUGAGUAGGGCGGGACACGUGGUAUCCUGUCUGAAUAUGGGGGGACCAUCCUCCAAGGCUAAAUACUCCUGACUGACCGAUAGUGAACCAGUACCGUGAGGGAAAGGCGAAAAGAACCCCGGCGAGGGGAGUGAAAAAGAACCUGAAACCGUGUACGUACAAGCAGUGGGAGCACGCUUAGGCGUGUGACUGCGUACCUUUUGUAUAAUGGGUCAGCGACUUAUAUUCUGUAGCAAGGUUAACCGAAUAGGGGAGCCGAAGGGAAACCGAGUCUUAACUGGGCGUUAAGUUGCAGGGUAUAGACCCGAAACCCGGUGAUCUAGCCAUGGGCAGGUUGAAGGUUGGGUAACACUAACUGGAGGACCGAACCGACUAAUGUUGAAAAAUUAGCGGAUGACUUGUGGCUGGGGGUGAAAGGCCAAUCAAACCGGGAGAUAGCUGGUUCUCCCCGAAAGCUAUUUAGGUAGCGCCUCGUGAAUUCAUCUCCGGGGGUAGAGCACUGUUUCGGCAAGGGGGUCAUCCCGACUUACCAACCCGAUGCAAACUGCGAAUACCGGAGAAUGUUAUCACGGGAGACACACGGCGGGUGCUAACGUCCGUCGUGAAGAGGGAAACAACCCAGACCGCCAGCUAAGGUCCCAAAGUCAUGGUUAAGUGGGAAACGAUGUGGGAAGGCCCAGACAGCCAGGAUGUUGGCUUAGAAGCAGCCAUCAUUUAAAGAAAGCGUAAUAGCUCACUGGUCGAGUCGGCCUGCGCGGAAGAUGUAACGGGGCUAAACCAUGCACCGAAGCUGCGGCAGCGACGCUUAUGCGUUGUUGGGUAGGGGAGCGUUCUGUAAGCCUGCGAGGUGUGCUGUGAGGCAUGCUGGAGGUAUCAGAAGUGCGAAUGCUGACAUAAGUAACGAUAAAGCGGGUGAAAAGCCCGCUCGCCGGAAGACCAAGGGUUCCUGUCCAACGUUAAUCGGGGCAGGGUGAGUCGACCCCUAAGGCGAGGCCGAAAGGCGUAGUCGAUGGGAAACAGGUUAAUAUUCCUGUACUUGGUGUUACUGCGAAGGGGGGACGGAGAAGGCUAUGUUGGCCGGGCGACGGUUGUCCCGGUUUAAGCGUGUAGGCUGGUUUUCCAGGCAAAUCCGGAAAAUCAAGGCUGAGGCGUGAUGACGAGGCACUACGGUGCUGAAGCAACAAAUGCCCUGCUUCCAGGAAAAGCCUCUAAGCAUCAGGUAACAUCAAAUCGUACCCCAAACCGACACAGGUGGUCAGGUAGAGAAUACCAAGGCGCUUGAGAGAACUCGGGUGAAGGAACUAGGCAAAAUGGUGCCGUAACUUCGGGAGAAGGCACGCUGAUAUGUAGGUGAAGUCCCUUGCGGAUGGAGCUGAAAUCAGUCGAAGAUACCAGCUGGCUGCAACUGUUUAUUAAAAACACAGCACUGUGCAAACACGAAAGUGGACGUAUACGGUGUGACGCCUGCCCGGUGCCGGAAGGUUAAUUGAUGGGGUCAGCGCAAGCGAAGCUCUUGAUCGAAGCCCCGGUAAACGGCGGCCGUAACUAUAACGGUCCUAAGGUAGCGAAAUUCCUUGUCGGGUAAGUUCCGACCUGCACGAAUGGCGUAAUGAUGGCCAGGCUGUCUCCACCCGAGACUCAGUGAAAUUGAACUCGCUGUGAAGAUGCAGUGUACCCGCGGCAAGACGGAAAGACCCCGUGAACCUUUACUAUAGCUUGACACUGAACAUUGAGCCUUGAUGUGUAGGAUAGGUGGGAGGCUUUGAAGUGUGGACGCCAGUCUGCAUGGAGCCGACCUUGAAAUACCACCCUUUAAUGUUUGAUGUUCUAACGUUGACCCGUGAUCCGGGUUGCGGACAGUGUCUGGUGGGUAGUUUGACUGGGGCGGUCUCCUCCUAAAGAGUAACGGAGGAGCACGAAGGUUGGCUAAUCCUGGUCGGACAUCAGGAGGUUAGUGCAAUGGCAUAAGCCAGCUUGACUGCGAGCGUGACGGCGCGAGCAGGUGCGAAAGCAGGUCAUAGUGAUCCGGUGGUUCUGAAUGGAAGGGCCAUCGCUCAACGGAUAAAAGGUACUCCGGGGAUAACAGGCUGAUACCGCCCAAGAGUUCAUAUCGACGGCGGUGUUUGGCACCUCGAUGUCGGCUCAUCACAUCCUGGGGCUGAAGUAGGUCCCAAGGGUAUGGCUGUUCGCCAUUUAAAGUGGUACGCGAGCUGGGUUUAGAACGUCGUGAGACAGUUCGGUCCCUAUCUGCCGUGGGCGCUGGAGAACUGAGGGGGGCUGCUCCUAGUACGAGAGGACCGGAGUGGACGCAUCACUGGUGUUCGGGUUGUCAUGCCAAUGGCACUGCCCGGUAGCUAAAUGCGGAAGAGAUAAGUGCUGAAAGCAUCUAAGCACGAAACUUGCCCCGAGAUGAGUUCUCCCUGACUCCUUGAGAGUCCUGAAGGAACGUUGAAGACGACGACGUUGAUAGGCCGGGUGUGUAAGCGCAGCGAUGCGUUGAGCUAACCGGUACUAAUGAACCGUGAGGCUUAACCUU
Molecule: ribosomal RNA, 2901 nt
Filed under: Escherichia coli DEC15E
Lineage: Bacteria; Pseudomonadati; Pseudomonadota; Gammaproteobacteria; Enterobacterales; Enterobacteriaceae
Description: bacterial LSU rRNA
Rfam family: Bacterial large subunit ribosomal RNA
Source: RNAcentral